GACGAACGCUGGCGGCGUGCUUAACACAUGCAAGUCGAACGGAAAGGCCCUGCUUUUGUGGGGUGCUCGAGUGGCGAACGGGUGAGUAACACGUGAGUAACCUGCCCGUGACUUUGGGAUAACUUCAGGAAACUGGGGCUAAUACCGGAUAGGAGCUCCUGCUGCAUGGUGGGGGUUGGAAAGUUUCGGCGGUUGGGGAUGGACUCGCGGCUUAUCAGCUUGUUGGUGGGGUAGUGGCUUACCAAGGCUUUGACGGGUAGCCGGCCUGAGAGUGUGACCGGCCACAUUGGGACUGAGAUACGGCCCAGACUCCUACGGGAGGCAGCAGUGGGGAAUAUUGCACAAUGGGCGGAAGCCUGAUGCAGCAACGCCGCGUGCGGGAUGACGGCCUUCGGGUUGUAAACCGCUUUCGCCUGUGACGAAGCGUGAGUGACGGUAAUGGGUAAAGAAGCACCGGCUAACUACGUG
RNAcentral lists this ribosomal RNA (468 nucleotides) under uncultured bacterium. Its description in RNAcentral is "partial 16S ribosomal RNA". It matches the Rfam family "Bacterial small subunit ribosomal RNA", at positions 28 to 507 of the family's 1533-position model. The record is from RNAcentral.